UACGGAGGAUGCAAGCGUUAUCCGGAAUGAUUGGGCGUAAAGCGUCCGCAGGUGGCGAUGUAAGUCUGCUGUUAAAGCGUCUAGCUCAACUAGAUAAGAGCAGUGGAAACUACAUAGCUAGAGUACGUUCGGGGCAGAGGGAAUUCCUGGUGUAGCGGUGAAAUGCGUAGAGAUCAGGAAGAACACCAGUGGCGAAGGCGCUCUGCUAGGCCGUAACUGACACUGAGGGACGAAAGCUAGGGGAGCGAAUGGG
RNAcentral lists this ribosomal RNA (253 nucleotides) under uncultured bacterium. Its description in RNAcentral is "partial 16S ribosomal RNA". It matches the Rfam family "Bacterial small subunit ribosomal RNA", at positions 524 to 776 of the family's 1533-position model. The record is from RNAcentral.